AAAUCCUUGACAUUGUGGAUAAAAAUGAAUCUGCUGUGAUCAUUGCUCCUACAUCAUCAGGAAAAUCAGAGGCCUCUUAUUAUUGCAUUGAAAAAUUUUUGAGAGAUGGCGAUGAAGGUGUAAUAGUGUAUGUUGCACCUACACAGGCUGUUGUUAAUCAAGUGAAGGCAACUAUUGACAGUCGAUUUAACAGAAUAUUUCCAGAUGGCCAGUUCCUAUGUGGGGUUCUCACACAAGGUUAUCGGCAUGUGGUCCUGGAUUGUCAGAUACUAGUGACAACCCCUCAGUGUUUUGAAGUCUUACUUCUGUUGCCUCAUCACCAAGAAUGGAUCAAAAGAAUGAGAUAUGUUAUACUUGAUGAGGCUAUUCUGCCUUGAGCAAAUGAACAUUGCUUUGGCCAAGUGAG
Molecule: long non-coding RNA, 406 nt
Organism: Sceloporus undulatus (fence lizard)
Lineage: Eukaryota; Metazoa; Chordata; Lepidosauria; Squamata; Phrynosomatidae
Exons: 4
Source: RefSeq, a predicted model, not a curated record